This 425-nucleotide unclassified non-coding RNA is filed under the name Pseudocercospora sp. 1516 FbLB. RNAcentral describes it as "sequence contains 18S rRNA gene, ITS1, 5.8S rRNA gene, ITS2, 28S rRNA gene". The stretch from base 128 to 281 matches the Rfam family "5.8S ribosomal RNA". Lineage: Eukaryota; Fungi; Ascomycota; Dothideomycetes; Mycosphaerellales; Mycosphaerellaceae. The record is from RNAcentral.
GGCUCCGGGUGAUCCACCCUUUGUGACCUUUCUUGUUGCUUCGGGGGCGACCCUGCCGCUUCGCGGUGCGGCGCCCCCUGAGGCCAUCUUUUCUGCAUCAUUGCGUCGAGAAAAGUAAAUGAAAAAAAACUUUCAACAACGGAUCGCUUGGGUCCAGCAUCAAUGAAGAACGCAACGAAAUGCAAUAAGGAAUGUGAAUUGCAUAAUUCAAUGAAUCAUCGAAUCUUUGAACGUGCAUUGCCCCCUCUGGCAUUCCGGGGGGCAUGCCUGUUCGAGCGUCAUUUCACCACUCAAGCCUGGCUUGUUAUUGGGCGUCGCGGCGCCGCGCGCCUUAUAGUCUUCCGGCUGAGGUGUCCGUCUCUAAUCGUUGUGGCAACUAUUCGCUUCGGAGGCCCGGCGGCCGCAGGCGUUAGAUCUUUCACAGG